UACGAAGGGGGCUAGCGUUGUUCGGAAUUACUGGGCGUAAAGCGCACGUAGGCGGAUAUUUAAGUCAGGGGUGAAAUCCCAGAGCUCAACUCCGGAACUGCCUUUAAGACUGCAUCGCUUGAAUCCAGGAGAGGUGAGUGGAAUUCCGAGUGUAGAGGUGAAAUUCGUAGAUAUUCGGAAGAACACCAGUGGCGAAGGCGACAUACUGGCUCAUUACUGACGCUGAGGCUCGAAAGCGUGGGGAGCAAACAGG
This 253-nucleotide ribosomal RNA is filed under the name uncultured bacterium. RNAcentral describes it as "partial 16S ribosomal RNA". It matches the Rfam family "Bacterial small subunit ribosomal RNA", at positions 524 to 776 of the family's 1533-position model. The record is from RNAcentral.